UGAGUAACGGCGAGCGAAAAGGGAAGAGCCCAGCGCCGAAUCCCCGGCCUUCCGGUCGAGGGAAAUGUGGCGUUAGGGAGUGAGCGUGUCGGGUUCGGAAGCGGCGGCAAGUCCCCCUGACCGGGGCCUGUCCGUAGCGGGUGCGAGGCCCAUAGCCGCCGCGGCCGUCUCGAAUGCGAUCUCCUCGGAGUCGGGUUGCUUGGGAGUGCAGCCCCAAUAGGGUGGUAAACUCCACCUAAGGCUAAAUACCGCCGUGAGACCGAUAGCAAACAAGUACCGUGAGGGAAAGUUGCAAAGAACUUUGAAGAGAGAGUUCAAGAGUACGUGAAACUGCUCAGAGGUAAACGGGUGGGCCCUCGAAAUCCUGUGGCGAGAGGAUUCAGUCUGGGUCGGCGGACGGCCGGUCGGGAGAAUCGUCGGUAGGGCUUCCGCCGAGCGCGGGCCGCCCUUCCGGUCGACGCCGUCCGACGCAGACGCAUUUGACUCUCGUCCCGAGGACGCUGCAGCCGGUCCGGAAGUGCAAGCGUGACGGCCUGAGGGUCGGGAGACGGCAGGUGGCCGGUGGCGCGCUCCGUGCGAGUCGCCGGUUGUUAGCCUUCCCGACGGUGGCACGUCUCCGGACCGUGGUGUCGCGAGGCCCCUCAGGGGACUCCUCGUCUCCGCCCAUCAGUGCCGCGGGACAGAACCUGGCCGGGAUCUUGGGCGCCGACUGCCGCACUCCUCCGGAGUGGGCGGACGGGCCGCGGAGAACCUACACGCCGGGUCGGACCCGCGGGGGAUCGGAGGCUCGCAGCGAGUAGGUCGGUCACCCACCCGACCCGUCUUGAAACACGGACCAAGGAGUCCGACAGGUGCGCGAGUCAGUGGGUCUUGAACAGGCCCACGGGCGCAAUGAAAGCGAAGGGCGACCGAGCGUCGCCCGAGCGGGGAUCCCCCGGACUCCAGUUCCGGGGGCGCACUCGCGACCCGUCCCGUCCGGUCCGCCGGUGGGGCGGCGUUUGAGCGCACCCGUCGGGACCCGAAAGAUGGUGAACUAUGCCCGGGCAGGACGAGGCCAGAGGAAACUCUGGUGGAGGUCCGCAGCG
RNAcentral lists this ribosomal RNA (1085 nucleotides) under Popcornella yunque. RNAcentral describes it as "eukaryotic LSU rRNA". It matches the Rfam family "Eukaryotic large subunit ribosomal RNA", at positions 80 to 882 of the family's 3401-position model. Lineage: Eukaryota; Metazoa; Arthropoda; Arachnida; Araneae; Salticidae. The record is from RNAcentral.